Molecule: small RNA, 46 nt
Filed under: Xanthomonas oryzae pv. oryzicola
Lineage: Bacteria; Pseudomonadati; Pseudomonadota; Gammaproteobacteria; Lysobacterales; Lysobacteraceae
Description: partial sX9 sRNA
Rfam family: Xanthomonas sRNA sX9
Source: RNAcentral
CGCCGUCCGCGCCCACCUGACAGCGGCUCGCUGCGGUUUGUUAGCC